This 301-nucleotide ribosomal RNA is filed under the name uncultured bacterium. Its description in RNAcentral is "partial 16S ribosomal RNA". It matches the Rfam family "Bacterial small subunit ribosomal RNA", at positions 509 to 807 of the family's 1533-position model. The record is from RNAcentral.
CAGCAGCCACGGGAACACAGAGGGUGCAAGCGUUAAUCGGAAUUAAUGGGCGUAAAGCGCGCGUAGGUGGUUUGUUAAGUUGGAUGUGAAAGCCCCGGGCUCAACCUGGGAACUGCAUCCAAAACUGGCAAGCUAGAGUACGGUAGAGGGUGGUGGAAUUUCCUGUGUAGCGGUGAAAUGCGUAGAUAUAGGAAGGAACACCAGUGGCGAAGGCGACCACCUGGACUGAUACUGACACUGAGGUGCGAAAGCGUGGGGAGCAAACAGGAUUAGAUACCCCGGUAGUCCCUGUCUCUUAUAC